UCUGCGGGUGCUCUGGAGAGUAAGUGUGGA
RNAcentral lists this non-coding RNA (30 nucleotides) under Rattus norvegicus (Norway rat). Lineage: Eukaryota; Metazoa; Chordata; Mammalia; Rodentia; Muridae. The record is from RNAcentral.